This 1346-nucleotide ribosomal RNA is filed under the name uncultured bacterium. Its description in RNAcentral is "bacterial SSU rRNA". It matches the Rfam family "Bacterial small subunit ribosomal RNA", at positions 28 to 1381 of the family's 1533-position model. The record is from RNAcentral.
GACGAACGCUGGCGGCGUGCUUAACACAUGCAAGUCGAACGGAAAGGCCCUGCUUUUGUGGGGUGCUCGAGUGGCGAACGGGUGAGUAACACGUGAGUAACCUGCCCUUGACUUUGGGAUAACUUCAGGAAACUGGGGCUAAUACCGGAUAGGAGCUCCUGCUGCAUGGUGGGGGUUGGAAAGUUUCGGCGGUUGGGGAUGGACUCGCGGCUUAUCAGCUUGUUGGUGGGGUAGUGGCUUACCAAGGCUUUGACGGGUAGCCGGCCUGAGAGGGUGACCGGCCACAUUGGGACUGAGAUACGGCCCAGACUCCUACGGGAGGCAGCAGUGGGGAAUAUUGCACAAUGGGCGGAAGCCUGAUGCAGCAACGCCGCGUGCGGGAUGACGGCCUUCGGGUUGUAAACCGCUUUCGCCUGUGACGAAGCGUGAGUGACGGUAAUGGGUAAAGAAGCACCGGCUAACUACGUGCCAGCAGCCGCGGUGAUACGUAGGGUGCGAGCGUUGUCCGGAUUUAUUGGGCGUAAAGGGCUCGUAGGUGGUUGAUCGCGUCGGAAGUGUAAUCUUGGGGCUUAACCCUGAGCGUGCUUUCGAUACGGGUUGACUUGAGGAAGGUAGGGGAGAAUGGAAUUCCUGGUGGAGCGGUGGAAUGCGCAGAUAUCAGGAGGAACACCAGUGGCGAAGGCGGUUCUCUGGGCCUUUCCUGACGCUGAGGAGCGAAAGCGUGGGGAGCGAACAGGCUUAGAUACCCUGGUAGUCCACGCUGUAAACGGUGGGUACUAGGUGUGGGGUCCAUUCCACGGGUUCCGUGCCGUAGCUAACGCUUUAAGUACCCCGCCUGGGGAGUACGGCCGCAAGGCUAAAACCCAAAGGAAUUGACGGGGCCCCGCACAAGCGGCGGAGCAUGCGGAUUAAUUCGAUGCAACGCGUAGAACCUUACCUGGGUUUGACAUGGAUCGGGAGCGCUCAGAGAUGGGUGUGCCUCUUUUGGGGUCGGUUCACAGGUGGUGCAUGGCUGUCGUCAGCUCGUGUCGUGAGAUGUUGGGUUAAGUCCCGCAACGAGCGCAACCCUUGUUCACUGUUGCCAGCACGUUAUGGUGGGGACUCAGUGGAGACCGCCGGGGUCAACUCGGAGGAAGGUGGGGAUGACGUCAAGUCAUCAUGCCCCUUAUGUCCAGGGCUUCACGCAUGCUACAAUGGCUGGUACAGAGAGUGGCGAGCCUGUGAGGGUGAGCGAAUCUCGGAAAGCCGGUCUCAGUUCGGAUUGGGGUCUGCAACUCGACCUCAUGAAGUCGGAGUCGCUAGUAAUCGCAGAUCAGCAACGCUGCGGUGAAUACGUUCCCGGGGCU